UUUCCGUAGGUGAACCUGCGGAAGGAUCAUUAUUGUAUAACCGAGGUGCGAGGGCUGUCGCUGACCCGAAAGGUCGUGCACGCCCGAGUGCCCUCACACGCAUCCAUCUCACCCCUAUGUGCACCACCGCGUGGGUCCCCCAUUGGCUUGUUCGGAGGGGGGCUUACGUUUUCACACAAACUUUGUAUGCAGUGUAGAAUGUAUUUUUUGUUUUUGCGAUCACGCAAUCAAUACAACUUUCAACAACGGAUCUCUUGGCUCUC
This 263-nucleotide unclassified non-coding RNA is filed under the name plant metagenome. RNAcentral's name for it is "partial contains small subunit ribosomal RNA, internal transcribed spacer 1, and 5.8S ribosomal RNA". The record is from RNAcentral.